UAGGGAAUCUUCGGCAAUGGGGGGAACCCUGACCGAGCAACGCCGCGUGAGUGAAGAAGGUUUUCGGAUCGUAAAGCUCUGUUGUUAAGGAAGAACGAGUGUGAGAAUGGAAAGUUCAUGCUGUGACGGUACUUAACCAGAAAGGGACGGCUAACUACGUGCCAGCAGCCGCGGUAAUACGUAGGUCCCGAGCGUUGUCCGGAUUUAUUUGGCGUAAAGCGAGCGCAGGCGGUUAGAAAAGUCUGAAGUGAAAGGCAGUGGCUCAACCAUUGUAGGCUUGGGAAACUGUUUAACUUGAGUGCAGAAGGGGAGAGUGGAAUUCCAUGUGGAGCGGUGAAAUGCGUAGAUAUAUGGAGGAACACCGGUGGCGAAAGCGGCUAUCUGGUCUGUAACUGACGCUGAGGCUCGAAAGCGUGGGGAGCGAACAGG
This 429-nucleotide ribosomal RNA is filed under the name Bacteroidota bacterium. RNAcentral's name for it is "Bacteroidetes bacterium partial 16S ribosomal RNA". It matches the Rfam family "Bacterial small subunit ribosomal RNA", at positions 355 to 776 of the family's 1533-position model. Lineage: Bacteria; Pseudomonadati; Bacteroidota. The record is from RNAcentral.